CCUACGGGGGGCUGCAGUGAGGAAUAUUGGUCAAUGGGCGGCAGCCUGAACCAGCCAUCCCGCGUGAAGGAAGAAUGCGCUAUGCGUUGUAAACUUCUUUUUCAGGGGGAUAAAAUUUUGUAUGUAUACAGAACUGAAGGUACCCUGAGAAUAAGCAUCGGCUAACUCCGUGCCAGCAGCCGCGGUAAUACGGAGGAUGCGAGCGUUAUCCGGAUUUAUUGGGUUUAAAGGGUGCGUAGGCGGAAUAAUAAGUCAGUGGUGAAACCCUGCAGCUUAACUGUAGACUUGCCAUUGAUACUGUUUUUCUUGAGUAUGGUCAAGGCAGGCGGAAUGUGUAAUGUAGCGGUGAAAUGCUUAGAUAUUACACAGAACACCGAUAGCGAAGGCAGCUUGCUGGGCCGUUACUGACGCUGAUGCACGAAAGCGUGGGGAUCGAACAGGAUUAGAUACCCGUGUAGUC
Molecule: ribosomal RNA, 460 nt
Filed under: uncultured Bacteroidales bacterium
Lineage: Bacteria; Pseudomonadati; Bacteroidota; Bacteroidia; Bacteroidales
Description: bacterial SSU rRNA
Rfam family: Bacterial small subunit ribosomal RNA
Source: RNAcentral